UACGAAGGGGGCUAGCGUUGCUCGGAAUUACUGGGCGUAAAGGGCGCGUAGGCGGAUAUUUAAGUCAGGGGUGAAAGCCCGGGGCUCAACCUCGGAACUGCCUUUGAUACUGGAUAUCUUGAGUUCGGGAGAGGUGAGUGGAAUGCCGAGUGUAGAGGUGAAAUUCGUAGAUAUCGGGAGGAACACCAGUGGCGAAGGCGGCUUCCUGGCCUGUUCUUGACGCUGAGGCGCGAAAGCUAGGGGAGCAAACGGG
RNAcentral lists this ribosomal RNA (253 nucleotides) under uncultured bacterium. RNAcentral's name for it is "partial 16S ribosomal RNA". It matches the Rfam family "Bacterial small subunit ribosomal RNA", at positions 524 to 776 of the family's 1533-position model. The record is from RNAcentral.